RNAcentral lists this transfer RNA (75 nucleotides) under Nanobdellota archaeon. RNAcentral's name for it is "tRNA-Glu". It matches the Rfam family "tRNA". From Rfam's summary of the family: Transfer RNA (tRNA) molecules are approximately 80 nucleotides in length. Lineage: Archaea; Nanobdellati; Nanobdellota. The record is from RNAcentral.
GCCCUUGUAGUCUAGCACGGUCAAGGAUUCUGGCCUUUCAAGCCAGGGACCCGGGUUCAAAUCCCGGCGAGGGCA